Pistacia vera is the source of this 680-nucleotide long non-coding RNA. RefSeq lists it as uncharacterized. NCBI's taxonomy places the organism in Eukaryota, Viridiplantae, Streptophyta, Magnoliopsida, Sapindales, Anacardiaceae. The transcript is spliced from 3 exons. The record is from RefSeq and is a predicted model, not a curated record.
UCAACCUAAGUCUAACUCUUAACUCUCUCGACAAUCACAAACUCACCAUCGCCAUCUUCAUUCUUCAUUUACAGUCACCAAAUCUCCAUCGCCAUCUCUCUCACUCACUCCUUCCAUCAUCAAAGCCAAGAUCGUCAUCAACAUUGGAAUUAGAGAGCCCCAAAUCGUCAGUUCCUUUCCUAAAUCCCUGAUUGAAGCCCCAAAUCGAAAUUAAUUUAGGGUUUUACAAUAAUCCCUAAAUUGAAGCCACAAAUCAGACCAUUCCAGCAUUCCUACUUGUGAUUUCUUGUACUAGAAGGCCCGAUUCACAAAAGCCCUCAAAUUUAAAAGAAAAUUAAAGCUUUAACAGAAGAACCUCAAUGACCCUAAUUAAUGCCUCCAAGGCUCAAACUAUAUUCCUCCAACCAUUUAUUUAUGCUCCUUCAGUCAAUUUCAGGUUGGAAGCAUAAAGAUUAAGGCAAGCUUUAACUUGAGAAUGAAGAACCAUGAUGGCAAUUUAGUCCGUGAAGGAAAUAGAGGGAAGUUGGUGUGAUGAAGUUGGCAUGAAGAAUUGACGAUUAGAAGAUGUAUUAGUAUUAAGUUGGCUGCUUUUGUUUGUCUUUCUAUUAAAUUUGUAAUUUGUGUAAUAGAGUAUGUGUUAAAUUGGUUAAGCAACUUGUGGAUUAAUUUGUUGGUAUCCU